This 2932-nucleotide ribosomal RNA is filed under the name Enterobacter chengduensis. RNAcentral's name for it is "23S ribosomal RNA". It matches the Rfam family "Bacterial large subunit ribosomal RNA". The record is from RNAcentral. Lineage: Bacteria; Pseudomonadati; Pseudomonadota; Gammaproteobacteria; Enterobacterales; Enterobacteriaceae.
GGGUUGUGAGGUUAAGCGACUAAGCGUACACGGUGGAUGCCCUGGCAGUCAGAGGCGAUGAAGGACGUGCUAAUCUGCGAAAAGCGCCGGCGAGGUGAUAUGAACCUUUGACCCGGCGAUGUCCGAAUGGGGAAACCCAGUGUGUUCCGACACACUAUCGUUAACUGAAUACAUAGGUUAACGAGGCGAACCGGGGGAACUGAAACAUCUAAGUACCCCGAGGAAAAGAAAUCAACCGAGAUUCCCCCAGUAGCGGCGAGCGAACGGGGAGCAGCCCAGAGUCUGAAUCAGCUUGUGUGUUAGUGGAAGCGUCUGGAAAGUCGCACGGUACAGGGUGACAGUCCCGUACACGAAAGCACACAGGUUGUGAACUCGAAGAGUAGGGCGGGACACGUGGUAUCCUGUCUGAAUAUGGGGGGACCAUCCUCCAAGGCUAAAUACUCCUGACUGACCGAUAGUGAACCAGUACCGUGAGGGAAAGGCGAAAAGAACCCCGGCGAGGGGAGUGAAAAAGAACCUGAAACCGUGUACGUACAAGCAGUGGGAGCACCUUCGUGGUGUGACUGCGUACCUUUUGUAUAAUGGGUCAGCGACUUAUAUUCUGUAGCAAGGUUAACCGUAUAGGGGAGCCGAAGGGAAACCGAGUCUUAACUGGGCGUUAAGUUGCAGGGUAUAGACCCGAAACCCGGUGAUCUAGCCAUGGGCAGGUUGAAGGUUGGGUAACACUAACUGGAGGACCGAACCGACUAAUGUUGAAAAAUUAGCGGAUGACUUGUGGCUGGGGGUGAAAGGCCAAUCAAACCGGGAGAUAGCUGGUUCUCCCCGAAAGCUAUUUAGGUAGCGCCUCGUGAACUCAUCUUCGGGGGUAGAGCACUGUUUCGGCUAGGGGGCCAUCCCGGCUUACCAACCCGAUGCAAACUACGAAUACCGAAGAAUGUUAUCACGGGAGACACACGGCGGGUGCUAACGUCCGUCGUGAAGAGGGAAACAACCCAGACCGCCAGCUAAGGUCCCAAAGUCAUGGUUAAGUGGGAAACGAUGUGGGAAGGCACAGACAGCCAGGAUGUUGGCUUAGAAGCAGCCAUCAUUUAAAGAAAGCGUAAUAGCUCACUGGUCGAGUCGGCCUGCGCGGAAGAUGUAACGGGGCUAAACCAUGCACCGAAGCUGCGGCAGCGACGCUUAUGCGUUGUUGGGUAGGGGAGCGUUCUGUAAGCCGUUGAAGGUGGCCUGUGAGGGUUGCUGGAGGUAUCAGAAGUGCGAAUGCUGACAUAAGUAACGAUAAAGCGGGUGAAAAGCCCGCUCGCCGGAAGACCAAGGGUUCCUGUCCAACGUUAAUCGGGGCAGGGUGAGUCGACCCCUAAGGCGAGGCCGAAAGGCGUAGUCGAUGGGAAACAGGUUAAUAUUCCUGUACUUGGUGUUGCUGCGAAGGGGGGACGGAGAAGGCUAUGUUAGCCGGGCGACGGUUGUCCCGGUUUAAGCAUGUAGGCGGAGGUUCCAGGUAAAUCCGGUACCUUUUAACGCUGAGGUGUGAUGACGAGGCACUACGGUGCUGAAGUAACAAAUGCCCUGCUUCCAGGAAAAGCCUCUAAGCAUCAGGUAACACGAAAUCGUACCCCAAACCGACACAGGUGGUCAGGUAGAGAAUACCAAGGCGCUUGAGAGAACUCGGGUGAAGGAACUAGGCAAAAUGGUGCCGUAACUUCGGGAGAAGGCACGCUGAUAUGUAGGUGAAGCCCCUGCGGGUGGAGCUGAAAUCAGUCGAAGAUACCAGCUGGCUGCAACUGUUUAUUAAAAACACAGCACUGUGCAAACACGAAAGUGGACGUAUACGGUGUGACGCCUGCCCGGUGCCGGAAGGUUAAUUGAUGGGGUUAGCGGCAACGCGAAGCUCUUGAUCGAAGCCCCGGUAAACGGCGGCCGUAACUAUAACGGUCCUAAGGUAGCGAAAUUCCUUGUCGGGUAAGUUCCGACCUGCACGAAUGGCGUAAUGAUGGCCAGGCUGUCUCCACCCGAGACUCAGUGAAAUUGAACUCGCUGUGAAGAUGCAGUGUACCCGCGGCAAGACGGAAAGACCCCGUGAACCUUUACUAUAGCUUGACACUGAACACUGGUCCUUGAUGUGUAGGAUAGGUGGGAGGCUUUGAAGCGUGGACGCCAGUCUGCGUGGAGCCGUCCUUGAAAUACCACCCUUUAAUGGCUGGUGUUCUAACGUAGACCCGUGAUCCGGGUUGCGGACAGUGUCUGGUGGGUAGUUUGACUGGGGCGGUCUCCUCCCAAAGAGUAACGGAGGAGCACGAAGGUUAGCUAAUCCUGGUCGGACAUCAGGAGGUUAGUGCAAUGGCAUAAGCUAGCUUGACUGCGAGAGUGACGGCUCGAGCAGGUGCGAAAGCAGGUCAUAGUGAUCCGGUGGUUCUGAAUGGAAGGGCCAUCGCUCAACGGAUAAAAGGUACUCCGGGGAUAACAGGCUGAUACCGCCCAAGAGUUCAUAUCGACGGCGGUGUUUGGCACCUCGAUGUCGGCUCAUCACAUCCUGGGGCUGAAGUAGGUCCCAAGGGUAUGGCUGUUCGCCAUUUAAAGUGGUACGCGAGCUGGGUUUAGAACGUCGUGAGACAGUUCGGUCCCUAUCUGCCGUGGGCGCUGGAGAAUUGAGGGGGGCUGCUCCUAGUACGAGAGGACCGGAGUGGACGCAUCACUGGUGUUCGGGUUGUCAUGCCAAUGGCACUGCCCGGUAGCUAAAUGCGGAAAAGAUAAGUGCUGAAAGCAUCUAAGCACGAAACUUGCCCCGAGAUGAGUUCUCCCUGACUCUUUAAGAGUCCUGAAGGAACGUUGAAGACGACGACGUUGAUAGGUCGGGUGUGUAAGCGCAGCGAUGCGUUGAGCUAACCGAUACUAAUGAACCGUGAGGCUUAACCUUACAACGCCGAAGGUGUUU